This 492-nucleotide ribosomal RNA is filed under the name uncultured bacterium. RNAcentral describes it as "partial 16S ribosomal RNA". It matches the Rfam family "Bacterial small subunit ribosomal RNA", at positions 29 to 507 of the family's 1533-position model. The record is from RNAcentral.
AGUGAACGCUGGCGGUAGGCCUAACACAUGCAAGUCGAACGGCAGCACAGUAAGAGCUUGCUCUUACGGGUGGCGAGUGGCGGACGGGUGAGGAAUACAUCGGAAUCUACUUUUUCGUGGGGGAUAACGUAGGGAAACUUACGCUAAUACCGCAUACGACCUACGGGUGAAAGCAGGGGAUCUUCGGACCUUGCGCGAUUGAAUGAGCCGAUGUCGGAUUAGCUAGUUGGCGGGGUAAAGGCCCACCAAGGCGACGAUCCGUAGCUGGUCUGGGAGGAUGAUCAGCCACACUGGAACUGAGACACGGUCCAGACUCCUACGGGAGGCAGCAGUGGGGAAUAUUGGACAAUGGGCGCGAGCCUGAUCCAGCCAUACCGCGUGGGUGAAGAAGGCCUUCGGGUUGUAAAGCCCUUUUGUUGGGAAAGAAAAGCAGCAGGUUAAUACCCCGCUGUUCUGACGGUACCCAAAGAAUAAGCACCGGCUAACUUCGUG